GGAGCCGCAGCUCGGGCAGAGGGCGCGCUGGCCGCGGGGCCGGGCGCGUCACCUGUCCCACCUGGCGGCUGCACCGGGCGCGCCCCGCAGCGCGCUUCUGUCCUUACCGCGGCCCGGCAGCUCCGGCUCAGCGGCGGAUUAGGGUUUAGGAGCUUUAGGGUUUUGCUGGCGCUUAUGAAAUCGAGGGAGCCGUCCUCCCCGCCGCCGUGCGGAUGCCGGGUGUUCAGAAUUAACUCUCUUCUCUCCAGGCACAACCGAAGAUCGGUUGCAUCCCAGCGAUGUGUUUUGAACGCAAAAUAUACUUGCACACGUCGUAAUUUUUGCUCAAACGUUUUCCAAGACCCGUAAUUGCCAUCUCAGGCCAAGCGCAAAACUCAAACUAAGCAGAUUUCUGCCAGAGCAAUGAGUCCAUCAAGAAGGAGAGGCUUUUCCCCCGACCCGCUGUUGUUUUAAACGCCCAAAGAACUGCUUUCAGCAUCAACCGGUGCUCGCCUGCUGGAGACAGACACCGCUGUGGGGCAGUGCGAGGCUGGAGGUGUGCGCAGUGGCGUGCUGUGUGCUGCAGCGAUCGCUCUGCAGCUCUGCCUGAGGGAUGAAGGGAAAACAGCACCAAAACACGCGUUGAAUAAAAUCCCUCUGUACAGA
This is a long non-coding RNA of Numida meleagris (helmeted guineafowl), 645 nucleotides long. RefSeq lists it as uncharacterized. The transcript has 2 exons. The record is from RefSeq and is a predicted model, not a curated record. Lineage: Eukaryota; Metazoa; Chordata; Aves; Galliformes; Numididae.